RNAcentral lists this small nuclear RNA (18 nucleotides) under Arabidopsis thaliana (thale cress). RNAcentral's name for it is "snRNA_03221". Lineage: Eukaryota; Viridiplantae; Streptophyta; Magnoliopsida; Brassicales; Brassicaceae. The record is from RNAcentral.
AGUUAUUGGCAAGUACCA